This is a long non-coding RNA of Phymastichus coffea, 187 nucleotides long. RefSeq lists it as uncharacterized. The transcript is spliced from 3 exons. Lineage: Eukaryota; Metazoa; Arthropoda; Insecta; Hymenoptera; Eulophidae. The record is from RefSeq and is a predicted model, not a curated record.
UGAAAAUUAUUUUGGAAUUGGAAAUCAGGAUUGCGAAUGUUAUACUUGUGAAAGACAGCAGAAAGGUUUUUUUGCAAAAGGUAAAACUAUUUCCCUCAAUAAGUCUAGUGAUGAACCAAUUAUAAAUAACAAUGCAAAGAUUGAGAAAGCAUUUAUAAUGCAAUCAGAUACAAAUACUAGUGUAUUG